Molecule: ribosomal RNA, 346 nt
Filed under: uncultured bacterium
Lineage: Bacteria
Description: partial 16S ribosomal RNA
Rfam family: Bacterial small subunit ribosomal RNA
Source: RNAcentral
CCUACGGGAGGCAGCAGUGAGGAAUAUUGGUCAAUGGGCGGAAGCCUGAACCAGCCAAGUCGCGUGAGGGAAUAAGGCCCUACGGGUCGUAAACCUCUUUUGCCGGGGAGCAAGGGCGGGGACGUGUCCCGGCCCGGAGAGGACCCGGAGAAAAAGCAUCGGCCAACUCCGGGCCAGCAGCCGCGGUAAUACGGAGGAUGCGUGCGUUAUCCGGAUUUAGUGGGUUGAAAGGGGGCGUAGGCGGGCUUUUAAGUCAGCGGUAAAAAUUCGGGGCUCCCCCCCGUCCGGCCGUUGAAACGGGGGGCCUUUAGUGGGCGAGAAGCAGGCGGCCUGCGUGGUGUAGCUG